RNAcentral lists this long non-coding RNA (3637 nucleotides) under Panax ginseng (ginseng). RNAcentral's name for it is "long non-coding RNA (PGIN_LNC009888)". Lineage: Eukaryota; Viridiplantae; Streptophyta; Magnoliopsida; Apiales; Araliaceae. The record is from RNAcentral.
ACGAAGCUAAAAAAAAGAAGUUGAACUCAAUUCGUUUCAAUCUCUUCUCUUCUCUCUCACUCCCUACCGAUCUGUCCCAAUCUCGUCGAUUCUGUCCAUCCUCUCUCGCGAGCCCUACGCCGUCUCAACAAAAAUGAACAACAUCUGGACGACGCCGUCUCUAAACCAGAGAUCCGUCUUCUCUCUUUGACUUCCCCCGCUUCUUCCAUGGCUGAAACCCUCCAAAAUCCUAACCCUAACAUCUCUGCCUAUUACCAGACUAGGGCCGCUCACCACACGUCAUCACCAGCGACUGGCUUGCCCAGGCCCAGGUGGCCGUCGGCAAUAAAACUAAUGAAGGCAGAGAGCAGGACUAAGAGAUAUCGGACCAAAAGGCAGAUAGAGCUAGAGAACGACAGAGAGAGAGUGUGAGCGACGAGCGAUCGAUUCCAUCAGGCAGCCAUUCUAGGGUUUUCUUCAACAAAUCUCUGGCUUAAAUCUUCAUUGGUACAAAGGUAUGUAUGAUUAUUAAGGGUAUUUGUGCGAUUGAUUGUGAUGGGUACGUUUGUUUGUUUAAUUCUAGGUUUUGAAAUUCCAUAACUCUCUCUCUCGUUCUCCCUCCCUCUGUCUCUAGUAUUUUGGAUUUGGGGAUUUUCACAAGCAGUUAGUAUGUUUCUCUCUUGUUAGUGAUGGAGUUCAGUUCCAAGUUUAAGGUGUUGAUUUCUCAAGAUGAUUUCCCUCAAUGGUUGACUGGUUGAGUUUGUGUUUUAUAAACUUCUCAUUUUAGUAUGAUAGUGUUAUAUUUUAUCCUAAUUAGAAAUCAUAUGUACCAUUGUAGUUCGCUAGCGGGGAAAAGGUAAUUUUUAAGUUUGCAUAUGAAUCGAGGUAUGUUUAAUUUGGUUUACCUGUGAGCUUGAAUUCCUACUUUAGUAGUUUUAUUAGGCUUCCAUUAGUUAUGGUAGCAUCUUAUAAUACUCUUUGGUGAAUUACAGGCAUGGAAAAUGAAGGGAAGAGUAAGUCUUAGGAGUUUGUACCAGGCAAGGAUAGUAAUAGUUAUUAGCUUGUCUCCAAUGUCAGUGUGAGGUAACUUCAGUUCAAGCAAAGAUAAUAUUGAUUGUUUGACUGAGAUGAUACACACCCGAAUAAAGAAAAUCAAUGGUGACAUUUCUGAGAUUUCCCCUAUUGGAACUAAGCAGAGGACUGCUAAGAUCUGAAUUUAAUCUCAUAGUUCUGCUUAAAAUGUAGUCUUUGAAAGGCUUUGGUGGAGCAUAACUUAUUAUCAAAUAAAAAAAUAGUAGUGGGCAUAAUGUGUCAUGAUCCAUAAAGUAGUGAUCAUCUCCUUGUAAACUGCAAUACACUUUGUUAUAUUGAUACCUGCUCCUAACGUUGAUGUGCCCUUUUAAUGUUUGAAUAUUGCCAAUUUGUCCAAGUAUUUUGCCGUUGUAUACAGAUAACUUCCCCUAGUAAUUCACAUCCUUGCAGCUGCUUCUGAAGGGUUGUGUGCUUCUGUUAGUUGGUUGCAUAUAUUUGGGUUCAUUAGAUGAAGGAUUGCUUUUAAGAUUAACAUUUCAUACAUCACAUAAACAUUGUUCAGCUAAUUAGACCUGUCUUUCCUCUCUGUUAUAGCGUUAUCGAUACAUUGAGGCAUAUACAAGUAUACAUAUAAUAGGAUCUGGAGGGACAGAUUUUACAUGAUGGGUUUAUCUAACAAAGAUAUAGUAGCACUAUCAGGAGGACACACACUGGUAAGUUGCAUCUACAAAAUUGUUUUUGACUCAUACUCUUGUAUAUUUUGCUUCUGGGACAAACUCAAAGCUCUUUCACUCUGAAAUCAUAUUCAUGCAGUUAGCCACUCUUUUGGUGUUUUGUGUGAUAGGGGCCGAGGGGGACGAGGAACUGGGCCAGGCACACUUUUGCACAAGUGCUACAACCAAUUCUUCAAGAACUCACAGAAACUUUGGCUGAAAAGCAUGUUAUCAUUAUCCAAAACAUCAAGAUAAUAAACGGAUCUAAACUAAAAAAAGGUAAUUAAUGGUUGUUGUUUUCCCUUUUCAGGAAAGCCCUUGGGGUUUCAUUAGUAAAAUGUUUUUUAGUUUCUUCUGGCUAUAUAUGUUGAACUGCCUUCAUUGGGUUUUUUGUAUUGGUUCAUCCCGCUCGGUCAAUCAUGAGUUUUCAUUACUAGAAUUCAAGAAUACUUUUGCUGCUAGGGUGAUUUAGAUAUGCAAAACAUGGGGGUUCUCUUAGAAAUUAUGGAAGCUUUUGAUAUGCUAACUGCGAUGAGGUCAAGAGGUUUUACUUUUGUAAUUCAUAUACAUUAAUUUAAUUUUCUAAUUCCUCUGCUCUAGAUUUGUUACCUAUACGUUCCCUGAAUUUCUUUCAUCUUAAAAAUGGUUGUAUGUGUUUGUCUAUACUAUAUUCAAUAUAGAGAUUAAGUUUGUGAUAGUUUUGUCUAUUACCAGCGACUAACAGUCUUAGGAAGUAAUGCCAUACAUAUAGAUGCUAGAUAGGUGGACCUUGAGCAAAAGUUUGUAACCAAAAUCAAAACAGUUAUCGAGGGGACUUGCAUUUCCUUCUGAACAGUGUAUGUCCUGCAAGAUUCUGGCAUUGCUUUGUUUGAUACAAUUAUAGACUAAUAGUUAAAACUUAAAACUAAAACUACAACUGCAGAAGAUUUGAAGGUUGUACAUCAUUUUAGUCAGUAAAGUCUAUACUUCUUCAGCUACUCCUUUGCCUGUAUUUUGCUAUAAUAAGCCAAAAAAUUAAAGAAUUAUACAAAAAAUUUACGGCUGCAUGACGAUUACUCUUGUACUUUUAGAGGGAUUACUUUGGAAACUUGUAUAACAGUAUGGCUAUUUUCCUGGUGUAAAGUUAAUACAUUGAUUCUUUUCCAUAUUAAAAGCAUAACAAUAUGGCUAUUUUUUUGGUAUAACAGUAUGGCUUAGUGCAGUGCAAUAAGUGCUCAUAAUGGAUUUGUUACAGCAAACGAUGAAAAAAAUCUCAAAAUGGGUUUGUAACAGCAAACGAUGAGAAAAUGUCAAAAUCGCUGAAGAACUUCUUCACCAUUCGCGAGGUAAACCGAAAAAUUGUCUAAUUGUUUUUUCACAUAAUUGUUGAAGCAUUGUCUGCAAUCAUGCCUUUUAGAACCUUGUCCCGCUAGUUUAUCUGACAUUCCUAAAUUAGAACCUUGGUAAAAUUCCUAAAUUAGAACCUUGUGGCUCUUGUGUGACUGAGACUGGUAAAAUUCUUUCAGGAGAAUGCAGCUGCAGCAGCAUAGAAGGCUUGACUUAUUGAUUUUAACAACAUAGAAGUUGCAAUGUUGCUGAAUAAUGUGAAGUUGGUAUCUCGAGCCCGUUCCCAGGGUAAAGAUCUAUUCAAUAUAGUAGUAAUUAUAUUGAAAAGUGAAUUUGAGAUGUAUGGAUAGUUUGGCAUUAUUGAGAUGUAAACGUAUUGUAUGGUAUUAAUAUUCUUUGUAAUUGGCAUUAAAAAGAAUUAUUGGGAUGUAAACGUAUUGUAUGGUAUUAAUAUUCUUUGUAAUUUUAGUUAUAUAUCAGGCAUUAGCAUAUUGCAGGUGCAUUGGUAAUAUAGGUGAACCACCAUAUUUAUUUAUUUUUUAAUCUACAACAUUUUAAAAACGUUGUGUGAAAGUGUUUAAACGUUG